Long non-coding RNA from Drosophila albomicans, 582 nucleotides. RefSeq lists it as uncharacterized. Lineage: Eukaryota; Metazoa; Arthropoda; Insecta; Diptera; Drosophilidae. The transcript is spliced from 2 exons. The record is from RefSeq and is a predicted model, not a curated record.
ACUGUUGUCAUCACUUACAAAUUUCUGCUACAAAUCAUCCGAAUAUUCAUUUAAAUACCCAAAUUCAUUUUAAAUUAAAUUUGAUACGCUGACAUGUGGAAAAAACACCUGUGGCCUAAGCAAACAUAGACUUCAAACGCGAGAGAAGAUCUUUAAAAUUCUCUUAAGCAAAUUAAAUUUCUGUAGCUCAAUGUUAAGUAACGACAGUUGUCUUCAGCCAAUUGCUAAAUGCGGUACCGCAAUGCAUUAUCUCUGGGUAUUUAUCUUGGGAAUCGUGUGUCUGUCCAACUCUAGCUCUUCAACCUCAACUCACAAGGAAAGUGAAGGCAGUCCGAAGAGUUCAUUAACGAGAGCGGCUUCGAGUGAGAACACAUGGUUCUUAAGAUCCGUCACACUUGGCGUUAUGCCCCAUCAUCGCUUGAAUACAACGGUCAACAAAAAACAGACUUCAUCGUGGGGAACAACCAGUACAAAUUUCAUGCAAAAUAUUUGGAUAGUAUUCUUUUUUGUCUAUAUUUGUUAUUUAACUGUUACUUUGUUUUGAAAUACAAUAAAUGAGCUAAUAAUAUAAAACACUAAAAA